This 22-nucleotide microRNA is filed under the name Homo sapiens (human). RNAcentral's name for it is "hsa-miR-6842-3p". The record is from miRBase by way of RNAcentral. Lineage: Eukaryota; Metazoa; Chordata; Mammalia; Primates; Hominidae.
UUGGCUGGUCUCUGCUCCGCAG